RNAcentral lists this unclassified non-coding RNA (231 nucleotides) under plant metagenome. Its description in RNAcentral is "partial contains small subunit ribosomal RNA, internal transcribed spacer 1, and 5.8S ribosomal RNA". The record is from RNAcentral.
UCUCCGUUGGUGAACCAGCGGAGGGAUCAUUACAGAGUUGCAAAACUCCCAAACCAUUGUGAACGUUACCUAUCCCGUUGCUUCGGCGGGCGGCCCGGGCCCCGCGCCCGGCGCCCCCCGGCCCCCCGUGGGCGCCCGCCGGAGGUAAACCAAACCCUUGAAUUGCAUGGCCUCUCUGAGUCCUCUGUACUGAAUAAGUCAAAACUUUCAACAACGGAUCUCUUGGCUCUC